RNAcentral lists this ribosomal RNA (459 nucleotides) under uncultured bacterium. Its description in RNAcentral is "partial 16S ribosomal RNA". It matches the Rfam family "Bacterial small subunit ribosomal RNA", at positions 338 to 795 of the family's 1533-position model. The record is from RNAcentral.
CCUACGGGAGGCAGCAGUGAGGAAUAUUGGUCAAUGGGAGAGAUCCUGAACCAGCCAAGCCGCGUGAGGGAAGACGGCCCUAUGGGUUGUAAACCUCUUUUGUCGGAGAACAAAACCCGGGACGUGUCCCGGACUGCGUGUAUCCGAAGAAAAAGCAUCGGCUAACUCCGUGCCAGCAGCCGCGGUAAUACGGAGGAUGCGAGCGUUAUCCGGAUUUAUUGGGUUUAAAGGGUGCGUAGGCGGUCCGUUAAGUCAGCGGUAAAAGUGCGGGGCGCAACCCUGUCGAGCCGUUGAAACUGGCAGACUUGAGUUGGCGAGAAGUACGCUGAAUGCGCGGUGUAGCGGUGAAAUGCAUAGAUAUCGCGCAGAACUCCGAUUGCGAAGGCAGCGUACCGGCGCCAGACUGACGCUGAGGCACGAAAGCGUGGGGAUCGAACAGGAUUAGAUACCCCGGUAGUC